GAUGAACGCUGGCGGCGUGCCUAACACAUGCAAGUCGAGCGAGAAACCAUCGAUUGAAACUUCGGUAGAUAUUGAAGGCGGAAAGCGGCGGGACGGGUGAGUAACGCGUAGGCAACCUGCCCUUUGCAGAGGGAUAGCAACGGGAAACUGUUAUUAAAACCUCAUAAUACCGUAAUGUCAAAUGAUGAAACGGUCAAAGAUUUAUCGGCAAAGGAUGGGCCUGCGUCUGAUUAGUUAGUUGGUAGGGUAACGGCCUACCAAGGCAGCGAUCAGUAGCCGACCUGAGAGGGUGAUCGGCCACAUUGGAACUGAGACACGGUCCAAACUCCUACGGGAGGCAGCAGUGGGGAAUAUUGCACAAUAGGCGAAAGGACCUGAUGCAGCAAACGCCGCCGUGGAGGAG
This 403-nucleotide ribosomal RNA is filed under the name uncultured bacterium. RNAcentral's name for it is "bacterial SSU rRNA". It matches the Rfam family "Bacterial small subunit ribosomal RNA", at positions 28 to 409 of the family's 1533-position model. The record is from RNAcentral.